Molecule: ribosomal RNA, 497 nt
Filed under: uncultured bacterium
Lineage: Bacteria
Description: partial 16S ribosomal RNA
Rfam family: Bacterial small subunit ribosomal RNA
Source: RNAcentral
GAUGAACGCUGGCGGCGUGCCUAAUACAUGCCAGUCGAGCGAACGGACGAGAAGCUUGCUUCUCUGAUGUUAGCGGCGGACGGGUGAGUAACACGUGGAUAACCUACCUAUAAGACUGGGAUAACUUCGGGAAACCGGAGCUAAUACCGGAUAAUAUUUUGAACCGCAUGGUUCAAAAGUGAAAGACGGUCUUGCUGUCACUUAUAGAUGGAUCCGCGCUGCAUUAGCUAGUUGGUAAGGUAACGGCUUACCAAGGCAACGAUGCAUAGCCGACCUGAGAGGGUGAGCGGCCACACUGGAACUGAGACACGGUCCAGACUCCUACAGGAGGCAGCAGUAGGGAAUCUUCCGCAAUGGGCGAAAGCCUGACGGAGCAACGCCGCGUGAGUGAUGAAGGUCUUCGGAUCGUAAAACUCUGUUAUUAGGGAAGAACAUAUGUGUAAGUAACUGUGCACAUCUUGACGGUACCUAAUCAGAAAGCCACGGCUAACUACGUG